CAGUCGCCGCGGGAACACAGAGGGUGCAAGCGUUAAUCGGAAUUACUGGGCGUAAAGCGCGCGUAGGUGGUUCGCCAAGUUGGAUGUGAAAUCCCCGGGCUCAACCUGGGAACUGCAUCCAAAACUGGCGAGCUAGAGUAUGGUAGAGGGUGGUGGAAUUUCCUGUGUAGCGGUGAAAUGCGUAGAUAUAGGAAGGAACAUCAGUGGUGAAGGCGACUACCUGGACUGAUACUGACACUGAGGUGCGAAAGCGUGGGGAGCAAACAGGAUUAGAUACCCGCGUAGUCCCUGUCUCUUAUAC
RNAcentral lists this ribosomal RNA (301 nucleotides) under uncultured bacterium. RNAcentral describes it as "partial 16S ribosomal RNA". It matches the Rfam family "Bacterial small subunit ribosomal RNA", at positions 509 to 807 of the family's 1533-position model. The record is from RNAcentral.